GAUGAAGAACGUAGCGAAAUGCGAUACUUGGUGUGAAUUGCAGAAUCCCGUGAACCAUCGAGUCUUUGAACGCAAGUUGCGCCUCAAGCCAUUAGGUUGAGGGCACGUCUGCCUGGGCGUCACAUAUCGUUGCCUGAUGCCAGUUUCCUCGUGAUGGGUGACUGUGCAGGGCGAAUGAUGGCUUCCCGUGAGCAUUGUUGCCUCAUGGUUGGUUGAAAAUUGAGUCCUUGGUAGGGAGCGCCGUGAUAGAUGGUGGUUGAGUGACGAACUAGACCCAAUCAUGUGAGACCCCUACCGAAUUUGGCCUUCAUGACCCACAUGCGUCUUUGGAACGCUCAUGACGAGACCUCAGGUCAGGCGGGGCUACCCGCUGAGUUUAAGCAUAUCAAUAAGCGGAGGA
RNAcentral lists this unclassified non-coding RNA (400 nucleotides) under soil metagenome. RNAcentral describes it as "partial contains 5.8S ribosomal RNA, internal transcribed spacer 2, and large subunit ribosomal RNA". The stretch from base 1 to 122 matches the Rfam family "5.8S ribosomal RNA", at positions 35 to 154 of the family's 154-position model. The record is from RNAcentral.